GUGGGGAAUAUUGGACAAUGGGCGCAAGCCUGAUCCAGCCAUGCCGCGUGAGUGAUGAAGGCCUUAGGGUUGUAAAGCUCUUUCAGUGGGGACGAUAAUGACGGUACCCACAGAAGAAGCCCCGGCUAACUUCGUGCCAGCAGCCGCGGUAAUACGAAGGGGGCUAGCGUUGUUCGGAUUUACUGGGCGUAAAGCGCACGUAGGCGGAUCGUUAAGUCGGGGGUGAAAUCCUGGAGCUCAACUCCAGAACUGCCUUCGAUACUGGUGAUCUUGAGUCCGGAAGAGGUGAGUGGAACUCCUAGUGUAGGGGUGGAAUUCGUAGAUAAUAGGAAGAACACCAGUGGCGAAGGCGGCUCACUGGUCCGGUACUGACGCUGAGGUGCGAAAGCGUGGGGAGCAAACAGGAUUAGAAACCCCUGUAGUCC
RNAcentral lists this ribosomal RNA (425 nucleotides) under uncultured bacterium. Its description in RNAcentral is "partial 16S ribosomal RNA". It matches the Rfam family "Bacterial small subunit ribosomal RNA", at positions 354 to 796 of the family's 1533-position model. The record is from RNAcentral.